CGGAGGAUGAUGAGCAGGCUGACCCA
This 26-nucleotide non-coding RNA is filed under the name Cricetulus griseus (Chinese hamster). Lineage: Eukaryota; Metazoa; Chordata; Mammalia; Rodentia; Cricetidae. The record is from RNAcentral.